Long non-coding RNA from Vitis riparia (riverbank grape), 2378 nucleotides. RefSeq lists it as uncharacterized. The record is from RefSeq and is a predicted model, not a curated record. Lineage: Eukaryota; Viridiplantae; Streptophyta; Magnoliopsida; Vitales; Vitaceae. The transcript has 7 exons.
UAAAUUUCCUUCACCAUUUCGAUUAUUUAUGUAUAGGUUUAAAAGAACAGGUUAUUUUUACCAGAAAAAAUGAGGGCAUUUUUGUCAAAAAGCGGCCAAAACAAGAUGAAGGGAUGAUAAUCGACAAGCUUAAUAAAUUGUGGGAAAGAGUUGAAUCCCUUGAAAAUCAUGAGAAUGCACUUGACUCAUUGCAGAACCUCUGGAAUUGAAAAUUGACCAUACCCUUAGCAGUGUGAUAUGAGUUUCUACCAAUUCAUGUUAUCCCUCUUUUGGUUCCUGGAUUGCUCAAUAUGCCUUCCAUGUCUAAGUUUCUUAUAUGAGAGUUUAUAUUUGUGUCCACCUAAUCUCUUUAUGUACCCGCCCUAUUUACACAUCCUCCCUAAAACAUAAAAUCUAUUAAUAUAUCCACUGAAGUAAUUUAGGUACCCUCCUUAUUCUUCUCUUCCACACUACACCUUCUUCUACCUUAUUAUCUCAUUUUUCUUCUUCUUAACAAAACCUUAAGGUGAAAUCCUAUUCUCACAUGCCUGUUUUUCACCUGAAAAGUGUUUGUAGUAAGUUCAGAGCUAAUUCUAAUCUCUUUUAUGCAUUUUAGUUUGUAUGCAUGCCCACGCGCGUGCGCACACACACAUAUAUAUACAUAUAAAUGAAGGGGUUGAGAAGAGUAUGUGGUUUUAGGGUUGGAUGGUCUUUGAAGUGUUUGGAAGUACAAUGCUAGACACUCCAAAGGUUGUUCUACCUUGAAACUGAGGACACUUUUCUCAACUUCAUUUUUAAGUUCCAAAAAGUGAAAAAAGAAAAAGAAAAAAGAAUGGUAAAAAUCAUAUUUUUGCACUUCUAGCAUCAUUGAAGAUGGUUAUUUGUUUAUCCAUUGUUCAAAAAAAAACUUUCUUCAAAGAUGUCAUUAGGGUUAUAAAGAGUAAAAGAAGAAAUGGAGGAAGAAGAAGAGGAAGAUGGGCGUAUACUAAUUUGAACGGGUGGAAGAUAAAGGUAAUAACUAGGAGAGAGAAGAGCAGAGAAGCUAGAGGAGAGGAGGAGGUUGAAAAAGCAGCAAUUUUGAAUAAGAGUACUGAGAAAGGAUUGCUGGAAUGUGCCAAGACUGGAGUUUAUGGUAACAUAUACAAUUAUCCUAUUAAAGGAUAUGAUUAAUUUCUGGUUAUGGAAGGACUGCAUACUUCUAGUUAUGAUGAAGAGCAAUUCAUCAUCAGAAGAGAGUAAAGGGAAUCAACCUUCGCUUUAAGGAAGCCUGAGAAAGAGGAAAUGGGUGCCAAAUUGUAGAAGAAAGCAAAGAUACUUCUUGAGGAUUGGGCCAAAAUUUGAUGCCUAUAAUUAUUUUUGGAAGUUUCAGAGAAAAAUCAUGGGAAUGGCUUCCCUGUGUGGAAGGAACUUGACAUUGCAGUUGGUUUUUAAAGCACCUGAAGAAUCUGAUUGGUUUACAUAUACUACUGGAGAAUGUCAUUACCUACAGGCUCCCGCUAUAAAUCUGGGCAAUGCCUUGGGUCCCUCAUCCAGGUGGAUCAUUCUCCUCAGAGCUCAGAUGAACAUGGAUUCAACCUGAAUUUCCCCUCUGAGACCUGCUGGGCAGAAGCUAAGGAGAUCUGUGGAGUGUGGACAGUAGUCUGCCUGAUGGUCAAUCUAAGACCGCUGCUGAAGGUGGCAAAGCAAAAACCAGGAGCUUGACUUUCCUGUCAAUAAUUCAUGUUCACAAGAAAUGGCAAUUAAAUAAUCCCAGAAUUGAUUUGUCCAUGGUCCUGUCUGAACCUUUCCCUGUUACUGCAAUGCUCCAGAGAUUUCAUUACACCACAUUGCAUCUAUAUUGUUGGAUAUGUUUUGUCAAUUUUCAUUGUCUCUCUCAUGUGGAUUUAUAAUUGAGACUGAUACUGAACAAAAGUUGUACAUUGUAUGCAGGGAUUUUGCUUGCAUAAAGAAACAAACAAUUAAGUGUCUUAAGAAUUACGAUGGACUCCAUUACAGGUGAGAAACCACAAGCUUCUGCCCUGCACCACUCUUUUAGACAGCAGGUAAAGAUGUGCAGUGUUGGCUUGGAUUUUAUGCAUGAGAGUAAACUCCGCUGAUUCAUAAUGAAUACGAGUGGAAGGUGUAAAGUCACCCUGUGGAAUCCAAGACAGUGUCGAGGCUAUGAGUACAAAGCCCAUUAUUAUGUAGCUCUUCUGUAAUCCGGAUGAACAUCAUCUCUUGCAAGUUGCAACAUAUGUUUAUUACAAUGCUGUAAGCUUUUUUAAAUCUUGAGCAGCUGCACACGUCUUUUGGGUGUUUGUCAUAAGUUGAUACCCAAAGGAAGUGGGAUCUCUAUGGACAUCUCCAAUGUGUUUGUUGGUGAUUUUCUUGAUGAUCAAAUAUAAGUUUGAUUCAAACAA